GCAACUAGACAAGCAUGCACUCAUGUUUUUCAGUCUGCUCUGCGACAGUAUCGGUACCACCUUAGAAAAUCUCACUUUGAAGGCAAGGCUAACAAUGAAAUCCCCCAAACAUCUCCAGUGGAAUAUAUUACAGAUGAAGACUGGAAAACCCUCAUUAAACAUUGGUCUGAUCCAAAGUAUCAGGCUAACUGUUUGAAGAACAAAACCAACCGUUGUAAAGUGAAAUUCCAACAAACCACAGGAUCUCAUAGCUAUAUUGCACACUGCGAGGCUCUUAGGAAAUCUCAUGCGGACCAAAAAGAACCUGAACUGAAUGCAGUGCAAAUCUCCAAGGAUUGCCACACCAGCAAGAUGAAGGGCAUGAGCACACCAGUUCAAGCCGCUGUU
This 387-nucleotide ribosomal RNA is filed under the name Triticum aestivum (bread wheat). Its description in RNAcentral is "partial small subunit ribosomal RNA". Lineage: Eukaryota; Viridiplantae; Streptophyta; Magnoliopsida; Poales; Poaceae. The record is from RNAcentral.